UGUGUGUGUGUGUGUGUGUGUGUGUGUCUGUGUGUAUAUUUGUUAGAGAGUCAUCUUAUGGAGUGUUUACAUCCGGAAUCUUGAAGGGUUGCAGGUUCAAGUCACAGUGAUGGCGAGCUAUGGCAUAAUUUCCUUAAGCAAGAAACUAACACACAUUUGCUUCUCUCGACUCAGGAGUAUAAAUGAGUACCUGGUCGUUGACUGGGGUUCUAAGCGGCCAUCAGCUGUGAUGUGACAUCAGCCACUGGGGUCCUGGUGAGACUUCGGGUGCUCACACCACAGUUGGCUUUAGAAGUCGGUGCUUCUGCGAGUGCCUGGCCCGGCUCCAGGAGUUUGCUAGCGCAGGCCCAGACUUCCCAGAGUAGCGCACAGGGCCCAGCUUAACAGCUGGGAGCAUGACCUCUGAGAGGCAGCUUCUGACAUUUUUGUGUCUCUCGUGAGUCUCCCAAUUCUUUGUCCGUUUUUCAGUCUACGGAGAUGACUUUGACUGGACUUUAAAUUUGUUGUGAAUACAUCAACUUCUAGAAACACAGGAUGUUGUCAGAUCAUACAGGAAAUGGUGGAGACUAUGCUUUUACUGAAGCAUCUUUACUUCAACAACCUGGAGAUCAGAUACAGCUGUCGUUGAUAUAUCUUCGACUUACAAUCGUUAUUUGAUGGCAAAUCAGACACCAAAUGUUAACAAAUAUCAGAAAUUUGAUGAAAGGUAUGGAAGUUUGUCGACGGAUAGAACGGGCACAGUUAACGUCAGUCUUCCUGUUGGUGGACCAAAAUGGAUGGCAUCUUCACUAGAACCGGAGAACCAGUGGCUGUCACUGUGAUACAAGAAAUGUACUAAGGUGAGUCUGUGUUUGCACGUUGCCUUUCCUCUUUGAAAGACGAGAGAGUAACAGCUAGCAAGAGCUUGAAAGGGCCGAGUACGACCAAAUAUGAAGGUGACAGGAAGGAAAUGGUGGAGCACAUCAGACAGGCUUUGUAUACAUCCAAGAUUAUCUCGUAUGCCCAGGGCUUCAUACUGCUGAGAGAAGCGGCGAUGGAAUACAAUUAAACACUCAACUAUCGAUCAAAAUUGCUCUCAUGUGGAGAGGUGGCUGCAUCAUUAGAAGGCAUCACGCAAAGUCUGUGCAAUGGCUGUCACUCUUGGUAUCCCCACUCCAUACUUCAGCACUGCUCUCACCUUUCACGAUGGCUACAGAUCAGGCAGCUUGCCAGCUAAUCUCAUCCAGGCACAGAGAGAUUACUUUG
Molecule: long non-coding RNA, 1245 nt
Organism: Corticium candelabrum
Lineage: Eukaryota; Metazoa; Porifera; Homoscleromorpha; Homosclerophorida; Plakinidae
Exons: 6
Source: RefSeq, a predicted model, not a curated record